This 333-nucleotide ribosomal RNA is filed under the name uncultured Arthrobacter sp. RNAcentral describes it as "bacterial SSU rRNA". It matches the Rfam family "Bacterial small subunit ribosomal RNA", at positions 1051 to 1398 of the family's 1533-position model. The record is from RNAcentral. Lineage: Bacteria; Bacillati; Actinomycetota; Actinomycetes; Micrococcales; Micrococcaceae.
GUCGUCAGCUCUUGUCGUGAGAUGGUGGGUGAGUCCCGCAACGAGCGCAACCUGUUUUUAGUUGCCUUAGGAACUCUAAAAAGACUGCUGGUUAUAAACCGGAGGAAGGUGGGGAUGACGUCAAGUCAGCAUGCCCCUUACACCCUGGGCUACACACGUGCUACAUUGGGCGAGACAAUGAGAUGCAAAUCUGCGAAGAAUAGCUAAUCUAUAAACUCGUUCUAAGUUCGGAUUAUAGGCUGCAACUCGCCUACAUGAAGGUGGAAUCGCUAGUAAUCGCUGGUCAGUACACAGCGGUGAAUUCGUUCCCGGGCCUUGAACACACCGCCCGUC